UACGGGGGGAGCAAGCGUUGUUCGGAUUUACUGGGCGUAAAGGGCGCGUAGGCGGCCACCGCAAGUCGACUGUGAAAUCUCCGGGCUUAACCCGGAACGGUCAGCCGAUACUGCGGGGCUAGAGUGCAGAAGGGGCAACUGGAAUUCUCGGUGUAGCGGUGAAAUGCGUAGAUAUCGAGAGGAACACCUGCGGCGAAGGCGGGUUGCUGGGCUGACACUGACGCUGAUGCGCGAAAGCUAGGGGAGCGAACGGG
This 254-nucleotide ribosomal RNA is filed under the name uncultured bacterium. Its description in RNAcentral is "partial 16S ribosomal RNA". It matches the Rfam family "Bacterial small subunit ribosomal RNA", at positions 524 to 776 of the family's 1533-position model. The record is from RNAcentral.